RNAcentral lists this ribosomal RNA (253 nucleotides) under uncultured bacterium. RNAcentral's name for it is "partial 16S ribosomal RNA". It matches the Rfam family "Bacterial small subunit ribosomal RNA", at positions 524 to 776 of the family's 1533-position model. The record is from RNAcentral.
UACGUAGGGGGCAAGCGUUGUCCGGAAUCAUUGGGCGUAAAGAGCGCGUAGGCGGUCCGGUAAGUCCGCUCUGAAAGUCCGGGGCUCAACCCCGGGAGGCGGGCGGAUACUGUCGGGCUAGAGUCCGGAAGAGGCGAGUGGAAUUCCUGGUGUAGCGGUGAAAUGCGCAGAUAUCAGGAGGAACACCAAUGGCGAAGGCAGCCCGCUGGGACGGUACUGACGCUGAGGCGCGAAAGCGUGGGGAGCAAACAGG